Molecule: ribosomal RNA, 484 nt
Filed under: uncultured bacterium
Lineage: Bacteria
Description: partial 16S ribosomal RNA
Rfam family: Bacterial small subunit ribosomal RNA
Source: RNAcentral
AUUGAACGCUGGCGGCAGGCCUAACACAUGCAAGUCGAGCGGAUGAAGGGAGCUUGCUCCUGGAUUCAGCGGCGGACGGGUGAGUAAUGCCUAGGAAUCUGCCUGGUAGUGGGGGAUAACGUCCGGAAACGGGCGCUAAUACCGCAUACGUCCUGAGUGAGAAAGUGGGGGAUCUUCGGACCUCACGCUAUCAGAUGAGCCUAGGUCGGAUUAGCUAGUUGGUGGGGUAAAGGCCUACCAAGGCGACGAUCCGUAACUGGUCUGAGAGGAUGAUCAGUCACACUGGAAAUGAGACACGGUCCAGACUCCUACGGGAGGCAGCAGUGGGGAAUAUUGGACAAUGGGCGAAAGCCUGAUCCAGCCAUGCCGCGUGUGUGAAGAAGGUCUUCGGAUUGUAAAGCACUUUAAGUUGGGAGGAGGGGCAGUAAGUUAAUACCUUGCUGUUUUGACGUUACCAACAGAAUAAGCACCGGCUAACUUCGUG